GUAGGUGGCAAGCGUUGUCCGGAAUUAUUGGGCGUAAAGUGCGCGCAGGCGGUUCUUUAAGUCUGAUGUGAAAGCCCACGGGCUCAACCGUGGAGGGUCAUUGGAAACUGGAGAACUUGAGUACAGAAGAGGAAAGCGGAAUUCCACGUGUAGCGGUGAAAUGCGUAGAGAUGUGGAGGAACACCAGUGGCGAAGGCGGCUUUCUGGUCUGUAACUGACGCUGAGGCGCGAAAGCGUGGGGAGGCAAACAGGAUUAGAUACCCUGGUAGUCCACGCCGUAAACGAUGAGUGCUAAGUGUUAGGGGGUUUCCGCCCCUUAGUGCUGCAGCUAACGCAUUAAGCACUCCGCCUGGGGAGUACGGCCGCAAAGGCUG
This 374-nucleotide ribosomal RNA is filed under the name uncultured organism. RNAcentral describes it as "partial 16S ribosomal RNA". It matches the Rfam family "Bacterial small subunit ribosomal RNA", at positions 527 to 896 of the family's 1533-position model. The record is from RNAcentral.